Molecule: ribosomal RNA, 445 nt
Filed under: uncultured bacterium
Lineage: Bacteria
Description: partial 16S ribosomal RNA
Rfam family: Bacterial small subunit ribosomal RNA
Source: RNAcentral
GUGAGGAAUAUUGGUCAAUGGACGGAAGUCUGAACCAGCCAAGUAGCGUGCAGGAUGACGGCCCUAUGGGUUGUAAACUGCUUUUAUGCGGGGGUAAAGUGAGUGACGUGUCAUUCAUUGCAAGUACCGCAAGAAUAAGGACCGACUAAUUCCGUGCCAGCAGCCGCGGUAAUACGGAAGGUCCUGGUGUUAUCCGGAUUUAUUGGGUUUAAAGGGAGCGUAGGCCGUCAGGCAAGCGUGUUGUGAAAUGUCGUGGCUCAACCAUGGACUUGCAGCGCGAACUGCCCGACUUGAGUGCGCGGAAAGCAGGCGGAAUUUGUGGUGUAGCGGUGAAAUGCUUAGAUAUCACGAAGAACCCCGAUUGCGAAGGCAGCCUGCUGUAGCGCUACUGACGCUGAAGCUCGAAAGUGCGGGUAUCGAACAGGAUUAGAAACCCUAGUAGUCC